Long non-coding RNA from Hemicordylus capensis (graceful crag lizard), 1186 nucleotides. RefSeq lists it as uncharacterized. The record is from RefSeq and is a predicted model, not a curated record. The transcript has 3 exons. NCBI's taxonomy places the organism in Eukaryota, Metazoa, Chordata, Lepidosauria, Squamata, Cordylidae.
CGGAGACUUCUUGGGAAAGAGGUGAAGCGAUCUGCUCACUCACCGACACCUCCGGAAUCGCGAAACCAGCAGCGCCAGCAACAGGAGGAGGGUCCCAACCACAAGCAACCCUGUCGUGAAGAGGCAGCCCAUGGCGGAGAUGAUGGUGAAGAGGCUGGGUCUUCUGCGCCGCGGCGAGAGAGCUGGACUGGGAGAGAGAAAAGCCGGAGUUGGGACGCCGACGAGUCCUUCUCUCGGGCUGGCGCGGUCUUUCUCGGCUCGUGGCCACUGUGUCUCUUACUCUUCUCGGCAGCAGCCCGAUCCGCCCCCGGUUCUUCUGCCCCGCCUGAGCGCCAAGUCCGGAGUCGGGGGAGGAGAACCUCGACGCCCAGCUUGCAGCGCCCCUGAGAUGGGGGAGCGUCUCCGUUUCCAAGGCGGGCGCCCGCGCUGGCAGCUGCCUGGGCAGGUGCUGCUGAGAACGGCUGCCUCCCCCCCCACCCCCCGCUAAGCUUCAGUGGGGGCGAUCUCAGGGCGCAAAGGGGCUUUAGGCGGCUUGCGUUUCGUGAUCGGACCCAAAGCUUCAGUAGGGCCCCUCGUUAUCCGCUUUCCAAAGCAAAGCUAAGUCUCUUGGAGACGGCGACACCUACUCUGCGCGUGUACAGAGCGCAUUCCCAGCCAGAGUAACCGAACAAAAAUUACAAAGGAUUCUCCACUGUAGCUGGUGUCCCCUUUCCCCCAUGAACAACUCACAACAAGAAGGGUAUUUCCACGUUGUUGUUUAUUGUAUAUCUUCUGGUUCUUAGAUGUGAUCCGCAGUGUGCUGUCAUCACUGGAAUUCAGCACUUCGAAGUAUGACUGGACUCCACUGAAAAGUGCUGCAUACCUUGCAAACAGAUAAAGAGAAAGAGAAGGACAGCAACUGAGAGAAAAACAGAGGAGGAGUCAGAGGAAGUGAAACCUGCAGCAGAGAUCCCUAGACCAGGCUGAGGGAGGAAGAAGAACAAUGCUAACUUACCUAUCCAAACCACUCCCCCUUUAAAUGAACAAGCACAAAAUAAAGAACAAAACAGACUCCAGGCAAAGCAUAAUCCAGUACAAUUUUCUACAAAAAAUAAAAUCUGUCAACACAUACAAUUCAAAGAAAGCUUUCCAAAUUAUCUGGAACUUGUCCUGAGCUCCUCACUAAAAAUAAACAAUUCUCUCAUAA